Molecule: ribosomal RNA, 238 nt
Filed under: Clostridioides difficile
Lineage: Bacteria; Bacillati; Bacillota; Clostridia; Peptostreptococcales; Peptostreptococcaceae
Description: partial 16S ribosomal RNA
Rfam family: Bacterial small subunit ribosomal RNA
Source: RNAcentral
GAGGGUGAUCGGCCACAUUGGAACUGAGACACGGUCCAAACUCCUACGGGAGGCAGCAGUGGGGAAUAUUGCACAAUGGGCGAAAGCCUGAUGCAGCAACGCCGCGUGAGGGAUGAAGGCCUUCAGGUAGUAAAACUCUGUCCUCAAGGAAGAUAAUGACGGUACUUGAGGAGGAAGCCCCGGCUAACUACGUGCCAGCAGCCGCGGUAAUACGUAGGGGGCUAGCGUUAUCCGGAUU